AUUGAACGCUGGCGGCAUGCUUUACACAUGCAAGUCGAACGGUAACAGGCCUUCGGGUGCUGACGAGUGGCGAACGGGUGAGUAAUGCAUCGGAACGUGCCCAAUCGUGGGGGAUAACGUAGCGAAAGUUACGCUAAUACCGUCAUAAGCCCUGAGGGGGGAAAGUGGGGGACCGCAAGGCCUCACGGCGAAUGGAGCGGCCGAUGUCAGAUUAGGCUAGUUGGUAGGGUAAAGGCCUACCAAGGCGACGAUCUGUAGCUGGUCUGAGAGGAUGGCCAGCCACACUGGAACUGAGACACGGUCCAGACUCCUACGGGAGGC
Molecule: ribosomal RNA, 321 nt
Filed under: uncultured bacterium
Lineage: Bacteria
Description: bacterial SSU rRNA
Rfam family: Bacterial small subunit ribosomal RNA
Source: RNAcentral